RNAcentral lists this ribosomal RNA (1412 nucleotides) under Mycolicibacterium rutilum. RNAcentral describes it as "Mycobacterium rutilum 16S ribosomal RNA". It matches the Rfam family "Bacterial small subunit ribosomal RNA". The record is from RNAcentral. Lineage: Bacteria; Bacillati; Actinomycetota; Actinomycetes; Mycobacteriales; Mycobacteriaceae.
CGGCGUGCUUAACACAUGCAAGUCGAACGGAAAGGCCCUUCGGGGUACUCGAGUGGCGAACGGGUGAGUAACACGUGGGUGAUCUGCCCUGCACUUUGGGAUAAGCCUGGGAAACUGGGUCUAAUACCGGAUAGGACCACGGUCUGCAUGGAUUGUGGUGGAAAGCUUUUGCGGUGUGGGAUGGGCCCGCGGCCUAUCAGCUUGUUGGUGGGGUGAUGGCCUACCAAGGCGACGACGGGUAGCCGGCCUGAGAGGGUGACCGGCCACACUGGGACUGAGAUACGGCCCAGACUCCUACGGGAGGCAGCAGUGGGGAAUAUUGCACAAUGGGCGCAAGCCUGAUGCACGACGCCGCGUGAGGGAUGACGGCCUUCGGGUUGUAAACCUCUUUCGGUAGGGACGAAGCGCAAGUGACGGUACCUACAGAAGAAGGACCGGCCAACUACGUGCCAGCAGCCGCGGUAAUACGUAGGGUCCGAGCGUUGUCCGGAAUUACUGGGCGUAAAGAGCUCGUAGGUGGUUUGUCGCGUUGUCCGUGAAAACUCACAGCUCAACUGUGGGCGUGCGGGCGAUACGGGCAGACUGGAGUACUGCAGGGGAGACUGGAAUUCCUGGUGUAGCGGUGGAAUGCGCAGAUAUCAGGAGGAACACCGGUGGCGAAGGCGGGUCUCUGGGCAGUAACUGACGCUGAGGAGCGAAAGCGUGGGGAGCGAACAGGAUUAGAUACCCUGGUAGUCCACGCCGUAAACGGUGGGUACUAGGUGUGGGUUUCCUUCCUUGGGAUCCGUGCCGUAGCUAACGCAUUAAGUACCCCGCCUGGGGAGUACGGCCGCAAGGCUAAAACUCAAAGGAAUUGACGGGGGCCCGCACAAGCGGCGGAGCAUGUGGAUUAAUUCGAUGCAACGCGAAGAACCUUACCUGGGUUUGACAUGCACAGGACGCCGGCAGAGAUGUCGGUUCCCUUGUGGCCUGUGUGCAGGUGGUGCAUGGCUGUCGUCAGCUCGUGUCGUGAGAUGUUGGGUUAAGUCCCGCAACGAGCGCAACCCUUGUCUCAUGUUGCCAGCACGUUAUGGUGGGGACUCGUGAGAGACUGCCGGGGUCAACUCGGAGGAAGGUGGGGAUGACGUCAAGUCAUCAUGCCCCUUAUGUCCAGGGCUUCACACAUGCUACAAUGGCCGGUACAAAGGGCUGCGAUGCCGUGAGGUGGAGCGAAUCCUUUCAAAGCCGGUCUCAGUUCGGAUCGGGGUCUGCAACUCGACCCCGUGAAGUCGGAGUCGCUAGUAAUCGCAGAUCAGCAACGCUGCGGUGAAUACGUUCCCGGGCCUUGUACACACCGCCCGUCACGUCAUGAAAGUCGGUAACACCCGAAGCCGGUGGCCUAACCCCUUGUGGGAGGGAGCCGUCGAAGGUGG